UACGGGGGGGGGCAAGCGUUGUUCGGAAUUACUGGGCGUAAAGGGUUCGUAGGUGGCCAACUAAGUCAGACGUGAAAUCCCUCAGCUUAACUGGGGAACUGCGUCUGAGACUGGUGGGCUUGAGUGCAGGAGAGGAACGCGGAAUUCCAGGUGUAGCGGUGAAAUGCGUAGAUAUCUGGAGGAACACCGGUGGCGAAGGCGGCAUCCUGGACCAAUUCUGACGCUGAGGAGCGAAAGCCAGGGGAGCAAACGGG
RNAcentral lists this ribosomal RNA (254 nucleotides) under uncultured bacterium. RNAcentral's name for it is "partial 16S ribosomal RNA". It matches the Rfam family "Bacterial small subunit ribosomal RNA", at positions 524 to 776 of the family's 1533-position model. The record is from RNAcentral.